UUGCUCUUCAACGAGGAAUGCCUAGUAAGCGCAUGUCAUCAGCAUGCGUUGAUUACGUCCCUGCCCUUUGUACACACCGCCCGUCGCUACUACCGAUUGAAUGGCUCAGUGAGGCCUUCGGACUGGCUCAGGGAGGUCGGCAACGACCACCCAGAGCCGGAAAGUUCGUCAAACUGAGUCAUUUAGAGGAAGUAAAAGUCGUAACAAGGUUUCCGUAGGUGAACCUGCGGAAGGAUCAUUAAAGAGAAAGGGUUCCCGCAAGGGAGCCCGACCUCCCNACCCUUUGUUAGUCGGUAGAAACGCGUUGCCUCGGCGGGUUCGCCCGAGAGGGCGACCCCGGGCCUCCCAGCGAGACCCCGGGGCCACACCCGCCGGCGGCCAAUCAAACAAACUCUUUUUGAAAACAUUGAAGUCCGAGAAAACUUGAUUUAAUCAAAAACAAAACUUUCAACAACGGAUCUCUUGGUUCUGGCAUCGAUGAAGAACGCAGCGAAAUGCGAUAAGUAAUGUGAAUUGCAGAAUUCAGUGAAUCAUCGAAUCUUUGAACGCACAUUGCGCCCCCUGGUAUUCCGGGGGGCAUGCCUGUUCGAGCGUCAUUACACCAAUCAAGCACCGCUUGGUAUUGGAGGCCGCCCCUGUCCCCUCGGGACCGGAGGGCCCCUCCCAAAUGCAUCGGCGAGGAUUGCGACCCCCGGCGUGUUAAAAAAUCUUGUCCCCUUGCGAAAGGGCUCACGAUACGCCUGGAGCACCGCUAGAGCCUCCGCCGUCGAAAAGAAACCCCCGUCCGCGUCCGCGAGGCCGCGGCGAGGGGAUCAUCACACAAGGUUGACCUCGGAUCAGGUAGGGAUACCCGCUGAACUUAAGCAUAUCAAUAAGCGGAGGA
This 883-nucleotide ribosomal RNA is filed under the name uncultured fungus. Its description in RNAcentral is "eukaryotic LSU rRNA". The stretch from base 1 to 241 matches the Rfam family "Eukaryotic small subunit ribosomal RNA", at positions 1593 to 1831 of the family's 1831-position model. Lineage: Eukaryota; Fungi. The record is from RNAcentral.